This 433-nucleotide ribosomal RNA is filed under the name uncultured bacterium. RNAcentral describes it as "partial 16S ribosomal RNA". It matches the Rfam family "Bacterial small subunit ribosomal RNA", at positions 29 to 507 of the family's 1533-position model. The record is from RNAcentral.
AACGAACGCUGGCGGCAUGCCUAACACAUGCAAGUCGAACGAGACCUCCGGGUCUAGUGGCGCACGGGUGCGUACCGCGUGGGAACCUGCCCUUAGGUUCGGAAUAACUCCCCGAAAGGGGUGUUAAUACCGGAUAAUGUCUUCGGACCAAAGAUUUAUCGCCUUUGGAUGGGCCCGCGUUGGAUUAGCUAGUUGGUAGGGUAAAAGCCUACCAAGGCGACGAUCCAUAGCUGGUCGGGGAGGAUGACCAGCCACACUGGGACUGAGACACGGCCCAGACUCCUACGGAAGGGAGCAGUGGGGAAUAUUGGACAAUGGGCGAAAGCCUGAUCCAGCAGUGCCGCGUGAGUGAUGAAGGGCUUAGGGUUGUAAAGCUCUUUUACCCGGGAUGAUAAUGACAGUACCGGGAGAAUAAGCUCCGGCUAACUCCGUG